GUAGGUGAACCUGCGGAAGGAUCAUUAACGUUAAACUCCCCCCGUGAACAUUCAUAUAGUUGACUCGCCCACCCGCUUGCCAGCAACCCUAGUAAAUCAUCGACCCAGUUUUGAUUUAGUUAGCAGAGUACGUGAGAAUUAUAGUGUUUGCAAACCUCAGCCUAUCCGGGGCCUGCAUACGGAUUGGAAAGUGCCAUACGCAUAAGCCGACGAUUGGACCCUUAUGGUUGCACUGGAGGACAUCACGUCCGGUGCCUAGGUGUUGGGCGUACGCGCCCCCUUUUAACCCAGUCUCGAGUCGGGCCUGCGGUAACUCGCUAGCCCACCAAACGAACAACUGUUAACAAUGGAUAUCUUGGUUCUC
This 364-nucleotide unclassified non-coding RNA is filed under the name rhizosphere metagenome. RNAcentral's name for it is "partial ribosomal RNA internal transcribed spacer region". The record is from RNAcentral.